GACAGAGGGUGCAAACGUUGUUCGGAAUUACUGGGCGUAAAGCGUGUGUAGGCGGUUUGGUAAGUCGGAUGUGAAAGCCCUGGGCUCAACCCAGGAAGUGCACUCGAAACUGCCAAGCUAGAGUAUCGGAGAGGUUGGUGGAAUUCUCGGUGUAGAGGUGAAAUUCGUAGAUAUCGAGAGGAACACCGGUGGCGAAGGCGACUUACUGGACACAUAUUGACGCUGAGGUGCGAAAGCGUGGGGAGCAAACAGG
This 253-nucleotide ribosomal RNA is filed under the name uncultured bacterium. RNAcentral describes it as "partial 16S ribosomal RNA". It matches the Rfam family "Bacterial small subunit ribosomal RNA", at positions 524 to 776 of the family's 1533-position model. The record is from RNAcentral.